AGAUGGCGUGGGUGUCAGUGCCAGGUCCUGGGCUAAUGCUGCCAAGGCAGGCAUGAAGCAAGCAGCUGCCCCUCAGGAGAAAGCCAGACCUGCUACCUUUCAGCAGAUAGUUACCAUUAACAAAGCCAAAGCUGAAUAUGGUGCUACUCCAAAAAUCAACAAGAAAGCAACAGUUUUCCAUCCAGGAUCAAAUCAGAAGGUGAUAACCUUGAAACAGUGCUGCUUUCACCCCUGCAACCAAAUCCACUUUGUCAGAUUUUGCAACCCUCCUGGCUAUCAGCAUUUUGGAUUCCAGCCGCAUCAAGCCAACUAUCCUCCAGGAUUCAGCUGUCCCCGUUUUCCUUUCCAACAGGCCACGGGUGUCCCUCCUGAAAGUGGCCGUGUGAGAUGGCAGCCGUGGUGACACAGUUUUCUUUUCUUUUUCUUUUGUUUGUCUUCACCCAUGACAGUUCUGGUCUGUAUAAAAAUGCACUAACCUCAGUUGUUUUUCCUUUAUUAUAAUCCCAAUGAAUAUUUGCAUCAAAGUAGCACUUGGGCAUGGGUAAUAUACUCUUCUAUUCUAAAACACAGUACUGUAGUGAAAUUUAUUAAAUGAGGCAGAGGCAAAGGACACACAACAGUCAUUGCUUUAGUUCAUUAGUGAGCAUCUGGAUGCUGUGCACGCACAAGUUAGGCUCUAAAUACAAAAUGCAAACUGUAUGCACUUUCCAA
Astatotilapia calliptera (eastern happy) is the source of this 711-nucleotide long non-coding RNA. NCBI's taxonomy places the organism in Eukaryota, Metazoa, Chordata, Actinopteri, Cichliformes, Cichlidae. The record is from Ensembl.